Molecule: ribosomal RNA, 247 nt
Filed under: uncultured bacterium
Lineage: Bacteria
Description: partial small subunit ribosomal RNA
Rfam family: Bacterial small subunit ribosomal RNA
Source: RNAcentral
AGAAUCAACGCUGGCGGCGUGCCUAACACAUGCAAGUCGCACGAGAAAGCGGACUUCGGUCUGUGAGUAAAGUGGCGCACGGGUGAGUAACACGUGAAUAAUCUACCUUCGAGUGGGGAAUAACUGAGAGAAAUCUUAGCUAAUACCGCAUAACACUUACGAGUCAAAGCAGCAAUGCGCUUGAAGAGGAGUUCGCGGCAGAUUAGUUAGUUGGCGGGGUAAUGGCCCACCAAGACGAUGAUCUGUA